AUUGAACGCUGGCGGCAUGCCUUACACAUGCAAGUCGAACGGCAGCGGACCUUCGGGUGCCGGCGAGUGGCGAACGGGUGAGUAAUAUAUCGGAACGUACCUUUCAGUGGGGGAUAACGUAGCGAAAGUUACGCUAAUACCGCAUAUUCUGUGAGCAGGAAAGCAGGGGAUCGCAAGACCUUGCGCUGAUUGAGCGGCCGAUAUCAGAUUAGCUAGUUGGUGAGGUAAAGGCUCACCAAGGCGACGAUCUGUAGCGGGUCUGAGAGGAUGAUCCGCCACACUGGAACUGAGACACGGUCCAGACUCCUACGGGAGGCAGCAGUGGGGAAUCUUAGACAAUGGGCGCAAGCCUGAUCUAGCCAUGCCGCGUGGACGAUGAAGGCCUUAGGUUGUAAAGUCCUUUCAGAUGGGAAGAUAAUGACGGUACCAUCAGAAGAAGCCCCGGCUAACUCCGUGCCAGCAGCCGCAGUAAAGUAGACG
RNAcentral lists this ribosomal RNA (480 nucleotides) under uncultured bacterium. RNAcentral describes it as "bacterial SSU rRNA". It matches the Rfam family "Bacterial small subunit ribosomal RNA", at positions 30 to 531 of the family's 1533-position model. The record is from RNAcentral.